Molecule: ribosomal RNA, 468 nt
Filed under: uncultured bacterium
Lineage: Bacteria
Description: partial 16S ribosomal RNA
Rfam family: Bacterial small subunit ribosomal RNA
Source: RNAcentral
GACGAACGCUGGCGGCGUGCUUAACACAUGCAAGUCGAACGGAAAGGCCCUGCUUUUGUGGGGUGCUCGAGUGGCGAACGGGUGAGUAACACGUGAGUAACCUGCCCUUGACUUUGGGAUAACUUCAGGAAACUGGGGCUAAUACCGGAUAGGAGCUCCUGCUGCAUGGUGGGGGUUGGAAAGUUUCGGCGGUUGGGGAUGGACUCGCGGCUUAUCAGCUUGUUGGUGGGGUAGUGGCUUACCAAGGCUUUGACGGGUAGCCGGCCUGAGAGGGUGACCGGCCACAUUGGGACUGAGAUACGGCCCAGACUCGUACGGGAGGCAGCAGUGGGGAAUAUUGCACAAUGGGCGGAAGCCUGAUGCAGAAACGCCGCGUGCGGGAUGACGGCCUGCGGGUUGUAAACCGCUUUAGCCUGUGACGAAGCGUGAGUGACGGUAAUGGGUAAAGAAGCACCGGCUAACUACGUG